RNAcentral lists this ribosomal RNA (481 nucleotides) under uncultured bacterium. Its description in RNAcentral is "partial 16S ribosomal RNA". It matches the Rfam family "Bacterial small subunit ribosomal RNA", at positions 28 to 507 of the family's 1533-position model. The record is from RNAcentral.
GAUGAACGCUGGCGGCGUGCUUAACACAUGCAAGUCGAACGAAGCACUUUAUUUGAUUUCCUUCGGGACUGAUUAUUUUGUGACUGAGUGGCGGACGGGUGAGUAACGCGUGGGUAACCUGCCUUGUACAGGGGGAUAACAGUUGGAAACGGCUGCUAAUACCGUAUAAGCGCACAGCAUCGCAUGAUGCAGUGUGAAAAACUCCGGUGGUAUAAGAUGGACCCGCGUUGGAUUAGCUAGUUGGUGAGGUAACGGCCCACCAAGGCGACGAUCCAUAGCCGACCUGAGAGGGUGACCGGCCACAUUGGGACUGAGACACGGCCCAAACUCCUACGGGAGGCAGCAGUGGGGAAUAUUGCACAAUGGGCGAAAGCCUGAUGCAGCGACGCCGCGUGAGCGAAGAAGUAUUUCGGUAUGUAAAGCUCUAUCAGCAGGGAAGAUAAUGACGGUACCUGACUAAGAAGCACCGGCUAAAUACGUG